CAUGGUAAUUAGCAUUUUCUGUUUAUAAGGUUCCUAUUUAUGUCUCAGAAAUUUGGUAUGUUGUUUCUAGUUAGUUCUGAUUCACUUCUACAGAUCUUCACUUAACUUUUGGUCAUGUUUUCUUCUUGCCUUUCAUGCAAAUGGACCCAAUGCUUUUGCUGUAGCUUUGUAUUGAAAUCUAACAUCAUAAAUCAAGUUGAUGUUUUGCUCCACUAAAAUCUUGUGACUGCAGGUAGGAAGAGCUGGGAGCAAAUAGUGCAAGGAAGUUGACUGUGGAGACUGAAGGUUGUCCAGCUAUUCUUGGCUAUUUUGCAGGUGGAUGUGAUAUUCAAAGCUCUGGAGCCAAGGCUGAGCACCAUCAAGUGGUUGUGGCUGCUCUGCACAGGUGAGUGUGACAGGAAAUACACGCUGAGCUGCAGGUAAACUUCUGGUUUAAUGUAAAUAUUUAUUUAAAUUUUUGUCUCUGAAAGCAAAGCAUUUAUCUCCUGACUUCCCUGUUAUUCAGUACCUGCUGAACUGGGUGUGUAUUUUCCUAAGCUAAGGAAAACCCUCCCUGUGAUUCUGUAAUUUCCAAAGGAGCAGCAUUAAGUCACUUAUGUUUUUCUUGUCUCCAUAACUUUAGCCUGACUGGUGCUCAAAGACAGGAAUGACUCAAGAACUGUAUGUGGUGAAUUGUUAGUUUGGUGGGGAUUUUUUGCAAGUUUAGGGCUAAAAUGUGAUGUAAGAAAAGGCUUUUUUUGCAGCAUUAGAUUUUUGCAGCAUUGCAGCUUUUCAAGCUUUCUAAGUAAGUCACCUCAUUCCAAUUUAAACUCUCUUGAAAUAUGCUUGAUAUGUUGGGUUUUUUUCCCCCAUUGUUAUGUUAGUUUUUGUUUUGGUUUGAUUUGGCUUUCUUUUUUGCCUGGCUUAGGAAACUUUAACAGAUCUCACUUUUUUCUUCUCCAGUUGAGUGCAGUGCUAUCUUCUUAAUUCAGAAAACAUUUGCUGUAUGGAAAAACCACCUUGCCUUGUGAAGGGACAGGUGGGAACUGUUAUAAUGGCCAGUGGCACAGCCCUGCAGCACAGAGAUUCCCUGCAGAUGCUGCUGCUGUACCCGGCUGAUGAGGUGAUAACCAGCUUGGCUUUAUUGCCAAAAUAAAACUUAUCUGUUUUCUUAUGAAUCCCAGCAAACUGUUCUCAAAGGCUUUGUCACUCAGUCACUGCUUCAUUGGUGUGGAGAGGCUGGAUCCCAGUUAUCACCCCAGGAGUGCCCCUGCAUCCCUUUUCCCCACUUUUCUGUUCCAGUCGUGGGAAAUACCUGGGCUUUGUUUUCUUCCCCCUGCAGUUCACUGCAGAUCCCAGAAAACCCACAGGAGGGAAGAUCAUUACUUGUGCUUCCACCACCAGACUGUACCUGCCUAGAGGCUGAGGUGAGACCAGGAUCUGUAAAAUCCCUGACUCCGUGUCUUCCUGAGGCUGAAGCUGUGUUUGCUGUCAGUGACGACAUGGUGGAAGAUGCUGAACACUGAAAACUUCGGAUUUUUUCCCCUGAACCCCAAUACUCUCUGCAGCUGUGCCCUGUCUAUCUCUUGAAAGUUUUCUGGGUUUACAAAGGUUUUUACAUUCUGUAAUAUUUAUCUAUACCUCGAUUAAAAAGAAUCAUACUGUAUCAAUGUGGUGUUAAUUACUUUGUUUGUGUUGGUUAAUUAAAGCAAAUGAUUGAUAAGGGG
This is a non-coding RNA of Taeniopygia guttata (zebra finch), 1706 nucleotides long. The record is from RefSeq and is a predicted model, not a curated record. NCBI's taxonomy places the organism in Eukaryota, Metazoa, Chordata, Aves, Passeriformes, Estrildidae.